RNAcentral lists this ribosomal RNA (432 nucleotides) under uncultured Curtobacterium sp. Its description in RNAcentral is "bacterial SSU rRNA". It matches the Rfam family "Bacterial small subunit ribosomal RNA", at positions 949 to 1382 of the family's 1533-position model. Lineage: Bacteria; Bacillati; Actinomycetota; Actinomycetes; Micrococcales; Microbacteriaceae. The record is from RNAcentral.
AAUCGAUGCAACGCGAAGAACCUUACCAAGGCUUGACAUACACCGGUAACGCCCAGAGAUGGGUGCCCCUUUGUGGUCGGUGUACAGGUGGUGCAUGGUUGUCGUCAGCUCGUGUCGUGAGAUGUUGGGUUAAGUCCCGCAACGAGCGCAACCCUCGUCCUAUGUUGCCAGCGGGUCAUGCCGGGGACUCGAUGGGAGACUGCCGGGGUCAACUCGGAGGAAGGUGGGAUGACGUCAAAUCAUCAUGCCCCUUAUGUCUUGGGCUUCACGCAUGCUACAAUGGCCGGUACAAAGGGCUGCGAUACCGCGAGGUGGAGCGAAUCCCAGAAAGCCGGUCUCGGUUCGGAUUGGAGUCUGCAACUCGACUCCAUGAAGUUGGAAUCGCUAGUAAUCGCGGAUCAGCAUGCCGCGGUGAAUACGUUCCCGGGCCUU